Molecule: RNA transcript, 3581 nt
Organism: Neoarius graeffei (lesser salmon catfish)
Lineage: Eukaryota; Metazoa; Chordata; Actinopteri; Siluriformes; Ariidae
Gene: hsd17b3
Gene name: hydroxysteroid (17-beta) dehydrogenase 3
Exons: 12
Source: RefSeq, a predicted model, not a curated record
GCAGUGCAAAAGAGACCAGGCUUGCUGUCAGGAUAUGCUCAGCUCCUGUCCUAAAGGAAGCCUAUGUUUCUGGAAUGGCACUGAUUGAGCUUAUCUUUGUCGUGAGUGGUGCCUGUGUUGUCCUCUUUUGGCUGGCACACAUGUUUAUGAUGCUUGCUACAAGGGUCUGUUGGCCAAUUCCUGGGAAUUUCUUUACCUCCAUGGGAAAAUGGGCAGUCAUCACUGGAGGAUCAGAAGGAAUAGGAAGAGCUUAUGCAGACGAGUUUGCAAGAUGUGGGCUGAAUGUGGUGAUCAUUAGCAGGAGUAAAGAGAAGCUUGACAGAGCCGCAACAGACAUAGAGGUUAAAACAAACAGAAAUGUCAUGGUAAUUGUCGCUGACUUUACCAAGGAUGAUAUUUAUGGAGGCAUAAAGGAAAGUAUUCAGGGUUUGGAUAUCGCCAUUUUAGUUAACAAUGUGGGAAUUCUGCCAAGUAAAAUACCCAACAGAUUACUUGAAACUAUUCAUCUGGAAGAGAAAAUUCAUGAAGUGAUCAACUGUAAUGUCAAAGCAAUGGUCAAGAUGUGCCAUAUUGUCCUUCCUGGAAUGGUAGAAAGACGACGGGGCAUCAUCCUGAACAUUUCAUCUGGCGUGUCUAAAAUUCCUUUCCCUAUGUACACUUUAUAUUCCGCUUCAAAGGUGUUUGUUCAGCAGUUCUCACAAGGGCUUCAAGCUGAAUACAAAUCCAGUGGAAUUCUUAUUCAGAGUGUGUCUCCUUUUGGGAUCUCCACUGCAAUGACGGACUAUCAGAAACCAAGUAUGAUUACAUUCACUCCUGAGGAGUUUGUGAGGAGCUCCCUGAUGUAUCUGAACGCUGGAGAGCAAACAUAUGGCAGUGUCAACCAUGCAAUCCUGGGCUGGAUCAUCCAGGCAAUCCCCACCUGGUUUCUGAGAAGAGAAGGAUUUCACAAUAGCUUUCAGGAGUAUAUAAAGAAGCAAGCGGGCAGCUGAGUGCUGUGUUUAUAAUCUAGCAGUGAGAGAGUGCAUAUCUUGAUGCCACUUGUAAUUGUUGUUUGUAUGUCACCAUCUGAAAACCACUGCUUGGGAAGUGAAAAUUCUUCAAAGUAGCCACCAUUUACCUUGAUGCUUUGCACACUGUUGGCAUUAUCUUAAUGUAACACCUCUUUAACUUGUGGGAAACAGAGCAACUGGAAGCAGGCUUCAGAACAGGUGAGUUAUUUUUAUUUUUCCACUGUUCAGUGAUGACUAAUAUGCAUGUUUUCACACAAAUACACACAUGGGGUGACACAGCUCUCGCUCUCUUUCCUGGCCAUCUGCAAGACACACAGAGACGUAGUUUAAUAGACAGCCAGUAAUUUGACACAGGUGCACCUCAUCACAUGUUACCUGCUGGUUCAACUUGCCUCCUCGCCGUUCACAGCCAAUGCUCAACCAUGCCCCCAUUGCCACACACCCCCACCGCCUGACUCAGGCCAGGGAGCCAUCUGGCCUGUAGCUGACUCCCCCCCCCGGCGGGAGAGGUAAUCCGCCACCACCCUCUGUGCCCUUGGCCUGUGAACCACCUCAAAUUUAAAGGGCUGAAAGGCCAGAUGCCAACAAGUGAUCCUCCAUGUGGUGGAGCCACUGGAGCGGGGCAUGGUCAGAACAGAGGGUGAAUGGGCAUCCUAGCAGGUAGUACCAGAGAGUGAGGACUGCCCACUUGAUGGCCAGACACUCCUUUUCUCUUGUGCUAUAUUUUUUACUUUUGCAUGGAGAGCUUGCAGCUGAUGUACAGCACUGGAUGCUCCUCUCCCUCCACCACCUGGGACAAAACAGUCCCCAGCCCUCUGUCUGACACAUCAGUCUGUAAAAAAAAAAGUGGAGAGAAAAGUCAGGAGAAUGCAACCACGGGCCCCCCACACAAAACCGUCUUUACUUGAGCAAAAGCCUGUUCACACUGCUCCAUCCACUGGACCGGAUCUGGUGCCCCCUUUUUAGUGAGGUCAGUCAGCAGGGCUGGUGAUGUCUGAAAAGUUAGGCAUGAGCCACCUAUAAUAGCUGGCCAGCCCCAGGAACUGCCUCACCACCUUUUUGGUCUUAGGUCUCGGGCAGGCCGCAAUUGCUGCAGUCUUUUCAAUUUGGGGAUGCACCUGCCCAUGACCCAAGUGGAAGCCCAGAUACUGUACUUCCACCCAUCCAAUUGCACACUUCUUCAGGUUUGCUGUGAGCCCAGCGUGCCUCAGCGACCUCAGGACCGCCCUAAGAUGUUGUAAAUGCCGCUCCCAAUCAUUACUAUAAAUGAUUAUGUAAUUAGGCCGCCGCAUAUGCAUUGUGGGGACAGAGAAUUUGGUCCAUGAGAUGCUGAAACAUUGCUGGGGCCCCAAAUAACCCGAAAGGAAGAUUGACAAAUUGGUGUAAGCCAAACGGAGUGGAAAAGGCUGUUUUCUUGCGGGAUCAUGGAGUCAAGGGGAUCUGCCAAUAUCCCUUUGUUAAAUCCAGUGUUGAGUAAAACCGAGCCGUGCCUAACCGAUUGAGCAGUUCAUCAAUGUGAGGCAUCAGAUAUGCAUCAAAUUUAGACACUGUAUAGUCCACACAGAACCGGACCGACCCAUCGGUCUUGGGAACCAAGACUACCAGACUGCUCCAGGUGCUGUGACUCCUCAAUUACUCCCAUCUUAAACAUAGCCUGGAGUUCAUCUCAAACCACAUGGGACUAACAGCUGUGUCAUCUUUUCUUUCCUUUGAGUGUCCUGCUCCACUUGACAUAGCCUAUCCUUGAUAAUACAAAAGUACGGGAAGGAAAGCUCAAUGUUGGGCUGGAGGAUUUGGCCAUCAAUUACUUUCACUUGUUCAAAAGCAUGUCUCAGAGACUUGUCACACACCUGCUCCAAUGGGAAGUCCCCUAAGGGAUUCCCCAGAGAGGGAGGAGGGCUCUCCCCACUCUGUGUCAUCAUGAUGCGGUGCUGAUGCGAACGGCCCUGGGACCACCUCCCCAGCUAAUGUUGCAGCGGGAUUCCCCCAUGACAUGCUACUGCAGGAACCACCCACUACUAUCUGUUUCAUUAACAUUUUAAAUCCUGGCGAAUUGGUUCCCAGGAUCAGAGGGUGGGUGAGGCUCGGCCUAACCACUGCCUCCGCACUAUGCUUUUUCCAUGGAACUGAAUAGUGAUGGGCAUUAGUGGAUAUUUGUGUAUAUCACCGUGCACACACUUAACCUUCACCAAACGUUAAUUUCCCAGUGCCCUACAUUGAAUCAGGCUUUGAUGUAUAGACGUCGGAUUACAACCUGAAUCCACCAAAGCCUGCUAUGUACCCCCUUGAAUACUCACAACUAUCCUGUAUGCCCUUGCUCAAUCAGGGGAAGCCUGUGGUGCAUCGGAGAUGCGAAUCAGUAGCCUCACCUCCUUGCCAAAGCACUGAUUCCCUGACUUCCCUCCGUGCCUACAGACCUGCCCAAGCUUGCUCUCAGUUCUGGUUGGCAUGGAUGAGUUCACCUAUGGAGAGAGAGAGAGAGAGAGAGAGAGUUAAUGGUGGCACAGACGCAGAAAAAGAAGGGAGCAUAGAAACAUGAGGACAGACAUGAGUGCAGAGAGUGGGCUUUGG